RNAcentral lists this ribosomal RNA (325 nucleotides) under uncultured eukaryote. RNAcentral describes it as "partial 18S ribosomal RNA". It matches the Rfam family "Eukaryotic small subunit ribosomal RNA", at positions 1470 to 1796 of the family's 1831-position model. The record is from RNAcentral.
CCCUUAGAUGUCCUGGGCCGCACGCGCGCUACACUGAUGCAUUCAACGAGUUUUUCCUUGGCCGAGAGGCCUGGGCAAUCUUUUGAACGUGCAUCGUGAUAGGGAUAGAUUAUUGCAAUUAUUAAUCUUGAACGAGGAAUUCCUAGUAAACGCAGAUCAUCAAUCUGCAUUGAUUACGUCCCUGCCCUUUGUACACACCGCCCGUCGCACCUACCGAUUGAAUGGUCCGGUGAAGCCUCGGGAUUGUGGCGAGUUCCCUUUAUUGGGAGUUUGUCGCGAGAACUUGUCUAAACCUUAUCAUUUAGAGGAAGGAGAAGUCGUAACA